GAAAUCAGUAGUAAAAUAUAGAGCAGUAAAGACCAUCAGUAAGAAAAGUAGUCAAGGUCAGGGCCAAAGUAUGUGCUAGAGUGAAAUGUUUAAAAUUUCCAAUGAGUCUUUAAUUAGGCUUUUAUAAAAUAGCCUGCUGUUAAACUGUUUUGUGUGUUUUCCAUGCAUAAUUUACUCCCAUGCAUUUUUAAUUCUCUCAGAGAUCAAGCUAUUCUCUGGAAAAGUGUUAACUUCCUGGAGAGGUAGCACAAACAUUGUUAUGUUUUGUUAAUUUUUCAUCUCAUGUAUUUAAUAAACUGUUUGACGGUUAGAAUCUGCAAGAAAGGCCAUCUCCUAUUUUGGUUCUAAAACUGACUCUUGUGCUGACUUCCAUUUAGUCUGAUGAAAUUGAGAGAACAAUGCCAGACUGAUUAAUUUUGUUUUUAAGUGUUGUGAGGACAAUUGAGCUGUGAGUAGUUGACAUUUUAAACUGGCAAACAGCUUGAGCACUUAAGCACAGUUCUAGGUAAAUAAGCUAUAUAUACUUACAUGUGUAUAUGUAAGUGUGAUUGCUUAAAGGUAUACAUUUAAGAUUCCACGUGAUCAAUACUAGGCAGAAGCUGUUUGAGGACCAGAGGCAAGACUUAUGUGCUGAAUGAGUUGGGGAAAAAAAUUGGAUCAAAGAAAGACACUCAUAUUUAAUCAAGACUUGAAAUCUGGCAACUCUCCUAGGAGAAUAAAAUACUAUUGGAUUGCACUUAUUUGUGGACAUUUUUUUCUUGCCUUCUACAUUGCCCUUUAAGCAUAGUAAUCAUGAUUUGUUCAUCUUUGUACUCCCCAAACAGUAAGCAUAAUAGUAGAUACUCAGUAGAUAAUUUACUCCUUCCUUACCCAUUUGUUCAUUCACGAACGCAGAUGAUGCUUGGGAAAUAUUAAAGCAGCAAUCUAGCAGAGGGCAUCGCUGUGAUUCCCUCUGGUUUCUUCUACUAGGGAGUAUGCAGCUUUUCACCACAUUUCAAAGACAAGUGGUCUGCAUAGAGAGGAAGCACGUGAUUAGCUGUGUCUUUGUUCAGUUGGCUAAUCAGGUCAGAGCUGUUGGUCCAUCUGUGAAUAAGCCAGUUAGUGUUUCUCCACUCCUAGCCACAGAUUUGCACCUUGAACCUUUGCCAGCUGUUUCCUAAGUGCAUGCCAUUGGAUGUGAGGGAGGCCAGAAAAGAGUGCACAUGGAUCAGCUUAAAAUCAUCACAACUUUUAAAAACAAAACAAAGCUUAAAGUAUGAAUCCCGUAAUGGCAGAUCAGAAGCUUUAUCCUUGUAUAUUCAAAGGUCAGUAUAUUGGUGCCAUAUGUUCUGGUGUCAAUGUAAACACUACAUGGAUAGGGACAAAACUUUUGGAGCUGUGACAAAUGAGUAUUGGCACUUUUGUUAUCAUUUUUACUUAAAACAUUAAAUUUCUUCUGGUAAGUUAGUAUAACCCUUCCUAGAAAAUACUGGGCAGGAUGUGGAUGGUCUCAUUGAUUCAGAAAAGAGUUCUACAUGAGCAAUAUGCCUCAUGUUUUAAUAGAUGACAUAAUUUAAGAACAUUCUUGGUUGUCUAGCUACAACUCCCUUGCCUUGGGACUUGGGUCCUUGUUCUUUGAAGACUUAUAGGACUCAAAUGAGGUUUCACUAACAAACCAGUAAUAAUACCUCUUAUUUGCUUUAUAUUUUUACUUUUACUUAACAUUCACCUGUAAUCAUUUGCAUUAUUUCAAAUGAGUCUCAAAAUAACCUUAUAAUGUAAGUUGUACAUUAUUCUUCAGGUUUACUAUUUAAUUGUCUGACAACCUUUUCUUAUCUGACCAUUAGUGACUUCAGGAACUCUGGGAAGAAUAGUUGACUAUAAAGUAAAAAAAAAAAAGUAUAGUCCUAUACUGACAAAAUUAUUUCUUUUGUAAGAUGCUACAUUCUCCUAUCAGAAUGAACAUUUAGGUGAAACUUCAUUCUCCGAGUUAAAAAAAAAUAUUACUGAAACAGAUUGCUCCCUUCUAGAGGAUCUAAGGAAAAAAAGUAGAAAAACUCCCUUCAGCCAACAUCUCUGGAUAUUUGAAUAGACAAGGAAGAACUGUAGCUUUUUUUUUUUUUUUCAGCUAAAUUUUCCUAAGAACACUCUGCUCCAACAUAAGAAUGCCAGUGGAAUAGGAGAUGGUAACACAAGAUGCACCAGGAGACUCGAGGUUUUGUGUGUUUGAAACUUAUAUUCUACUAUAAUGACUAAAUUGUAGAGAAGCAAAACUAAUGUGUGUGUGUUGUUUUAAGUUUGCUCAAUGUUUUUUUGGUUCUGUCUUCUAGGAGCACGCAAAAUUCUUUUGUUUUUUGUUUGCUUGUUUGUUUUUAAAAGUUCACUCUUAAAUUUAUAAAACAAUAUAAGGCAAGGAAAAUUAAAGUUAUACUACAUCAAAACAAUAUAUUUGCUCAACAUAGUAAUACUAAAGGCAUAUAAAGGUAUAAAGUGGUAUACAGUGUUUUUUCACAUAAUUUAUUUAAAUUGGUAAGACUAGUCUUUCAAUUUUUAAUUUCACUAUAAACAAAAGUGAGGUAAAUACAAUGAUUGUUAUCAACUGAAUACUAGAUGAGGUCUCAAUAUUUAAAAAAAAAACAUAGAUCUCUUCUUAUAAACUUGCGUUUGAUUUUAAUUCAAGAAUAAUUAUGCUGGGUUCUUAUGUAUGACUGGACAAAAAAACAUGUGGUUGUGUGUUUUGGCAUAUGUUCUUCCAGAUUUUUCAGUGAUAGUCAUGAUAACCAACAAAGGAAAGUUAGACUGGAAAGCCUUUUUCUGUAGGAGAUUCUAGUCAUCACCCUAAGAAUAAUUCCAACACCUAGUGGUUACUUUUACUUGAAGACUUUAUGUAUAUAUACAUGUCAAUGACUUUAAGUGAUGGAGAAUAGGGACGUGGAAUUCUGAAGAAUAAACUUUUGGAACAGAUACCUGCACAAUAUCAUACUUCUUUUUAGCUCCACUACUGUUACCAGAAAAACAUUUGGGUAAGUAAAAAUGAAAUUAGCAAAAACAUAAUAUUUUUAUAACAGGCAGUUUUUUUCUAUGUUCAUGUUUAUAACUUUCCCUGAGAGCAGAAUUAAAAUUGUAAACCAUAGCUUUAAUGUAUAUUAUGAACAUAAAGGAAAAGAAUGUGUUCAUGCACGCGCGCGCACACGCACACUUGUAGGAAAGACUAGAUUUUAGUAUCAAACAGAGAUGUGGGUGUUGUGCAAUCAACAAAACACUGUUGUGCAAUAAUUAAAGAAUUUUUAAACUGAAGAUUAAAUUGGAAUGUUGUUAUAAACAUAAGGAAAAUGGCCAACAUUUUUCUUUGUAUCAAAAGAAAACUCAUUUCUAAAAAUAAGCACCCUCUUUGUGAUGACCCUUUAAAAUAGUUUUAAGUGAUUCCAUUCAUAGAUGGGCGUUUAGGUCUGUAGCACUUUGCUAUAAGUGGCUUGCUCUUUGAUCUUGUAGCCUUUAAUCAGGUGUGUAUCCAGACGAGGCGAGCAUUGGCAUGGCUGUUCACCAGCCAGACUCCGCACCUCUGGAAGCAAACGUGGUGGGACUAAAACAUGCUGCUGGGGGCUGAGAGCUUUCCUUUAGUGUAUGAAUUUAAGGAAAUUUUGGUUAAAGCUAUUUCUCAUUGCUAAACUUCAUUUUAUCAAAUCAAGGUCAACGUGGACCUUUAUAAAGUUACCAAAUUAAAAAAAGACCUUGAUAAAAUUUUUUUUAAACAAAAAAAGUGUUUUUAUUAUCUUCCAUGUUCAUAUUACUUUCCCCAAAAUGAGAAUGGAGUAAAAAGGAAGAAUCGAGAAUGCUACCUUUUCUUUUAAGUGUUAUUGACCUUCAGCGGUCAAUUACUUUGAAAUGUAAAAUUGAUUUAGUAUAAUCUUAAUGUCCCAAGUUUUUAAAGAGUGUCUUGGAUAGUGCCUUUAGAAAUAGAAAAACCCAAGAAUUAUUCUACUCUGUUCCACCUCCCACUCCCAGUCGAAUCCACAUUUCUUAAUAUUACUAAUUCUCUCAUUUAGACAGCAGACCCUUCAUCUUUUUCUUCCCUGUCCUUUUGCUCCCACUGUCUAAACAUUAUCUUCCCCUAACAAUAACUUAGUGCUUAAGAACUAGGUUUGAAUUCUUUGCCAGUUAUAAAUUUUGUGGCAUUGGUCAAGUCACUUAACCUCUAUAAAGACUGUUUUCAAUACUUAUUUUGUAGGUUAAUAGGGCUAAAUGAAACAAUUCAGGCCUGCACUCAGUACCACUCUUCCCCCUUCCCCUCCUUGCCUUCCCCUCCCUACCUUCCCCUGGACUCCUCUCUCCACCUUCCUUUUUCUUCCUCCCCAUCCCCUACCUUCUUCCUUUUCCUCUUCUUUGAGUAAGUUCUUGGCACAGGGUGAGACUCUGUAAAUGCUCGUUUUCAUUGUUAUAAAACGGCCUCCUCCUCUCCAUGAAUCAAGCCCUGGAAUCAUUUCUCCCUUGGAAUACUAAAUUUAUUUAAUGGGUCUGCCAUACCCUGUUUAGCUCUGUCCUUCACAUUAAAGCUCUGUACCCACUGACUUAUUUUGUAAAGUAUAGUUUUUAAAUCAAAUCAUGCAUUUGGGAUUGGGAAAUGAAGUAUUGUAAAAACCACUGUUAAUAGCUAUUAUGCUUUUGCUGUCUAAUCAUAUCCUGCCUUCAUGUAGAUGCUUCAUAUAGUUGGUGUCUUCAAUAGACUUAUUUUGAAGAUUUUUAAAUGACUUUGGGAACAUAUAUAAACUGUUUAUCUUAAAUAGACUACUGUGUGCCAGGUGCUGUGACUUAAAUGCUCUUUAUGAACAUUAUCCUAUUUAAUUCACAGUAACCUCUGAGAUGUCUCCUAUUAUUACUACCCAUUUUACAGAGAGGGAAACAGAUUUAUGCACAAGGUCAGAUAGCUAUAAAUAGGAGAGAAGAAUUUGAACUCGGUCUGAUUCCAGAGCCUGUGCUUCUAAACACUAGUCUAUACUGCCCGCCUGCUUCCAGAAAUAAUUAAAUAAUUUAGUAAAGUGCAUCUUUAACCUAGAAUUCUCUUACUAAUUAAGUUAAAAUGAAGAAUAAUUCCUGGAAAUACAACUUUGAAAAGGAAAAAUAAAUUCCAUUCUAAUAAAUAGUAAUGGAAAAUAAAUCCUACCAUUGACUUUUCAUCUUUUUUCAUGGCUAGUCAAUAAGAUUUUCUCAUUCAUCAAUUAUGUAAAAAACGGAAACGUAUCUGAAGGAUGGCAUCUGAAUUGAGACAGAAUUAUGACUUAUGAGAAAUAGUUGAAGAAUUUGGAGAAACUUAGCCUUGAGAAAUCUGGGAGAAAUUAAAACUUUCCAAAUAUUUGAAUAGCUUGCAUGUAAAGGAGGGAUUAAAUAUACUCUGUGUGGCCCAAGAGGAUAGAAUUAGAACCAUUUGUUGGAAGCAAUUAGAUGAGAGCUUUCUAACAAUUAGAACUGGAAACACUUUUACUAAUCACAGUUUAACUAUUUCUACUCAUCUUGCGCAGAGAUCUCACACUUUUAGAGAAAAGAAAGGUUGCUCAGUUUGGGGAUAACAUCAGAGACCUUCAAGUGUGCCUCUGAGAUAGGCUAUAAUAUGAAAAAGAUGAUUUUUUAAAAAGUCAGAUUAUAAAUUCAAUACAUAAAAAAUCAGGAUUCCAUAAAACUAGAAACCUGCCCUUUAAUCCCACCAUCCAGGGACAGUAAUUUGUUAUAUUAAUAAUAUCUGUCUUUUAUGAUUAUAAAAAUAAUAUAGAAAAUUUAAAUGCAGAAAAGCAUAAAAAAAUAAGAAAAGUUAAAGACGGUAAAAAAUCUAUAAUUCUAUUUACAUUUUGAUGUAUUUUUUCUAGUCCUUUAUAUUUUUAUAUUUAAUUUUAUUUAUAUUUUUAAUGAAACUUACAAUUUACAAAGUUUUGUAGGCCAUUCUUUUCAUAUAACAUUAUAUUAUAGACAUUACCUUAUUAUUUUUUAGAUAUUUCAAGUAUGUAAUGUUUAAUAGAGACUUAUGGCUCCAUUUUAUGAAUGUUCCAUGAUUUAGUUAACCAAUUUCCUAUUUACAAAUAAUAACAUAUGCAGUGGUUUCUUACUAUAGGUAACACUGCAAUGAAUAUCUUUAUAUAUUAGAUAUCCAAAUGCUAAUUGUGUUCUUAGAUUUCUAGAAGUGGAAUUAAUGCUCUCAAAGUUCCUGCUAUGUGUAGCCAAACUGACCUCUGAAAACCAUGUACCAACUUACUUUCUCACUAUCAAUAAAUGAGAUUAGACUUUGGUUUUUAACAAUUUAGUAAAAUAGUUGGUAGGCAAUUUUUAUUUUAAUUUGUAUUUCUUUAAAUAAAAUUGAUAUUCUAUAUUGAUUCAUAUGUCUAAUGGCUAAUUACAAUUUUUUGACGUACAUAUUCAUUUCUUCCUCCAUAAAUUUUAAGAAUUUAUUUAUACAAAUGCUUUAUGUAUUAAAAACAUUAAACCGUUAUGUUUUUUUGAAUGCCAUUAAGUAUAUUUAUAUACACUUAAUUUCUUCCAUUGCUAUUCUUUUAAAAAAAUCCUUUACAUAUUUUCAGUUAGACACUUUAUAUCAGUCACAGUUCAAUCAGAGAAGCAGAACCACUAGGAGGUGUACACACACACACACACACACACACACACACACACACACACACACACACACAGAUUUGGUCUUAUACAAUUGUAGAUUAAGUACUGUCUGCAAGGCUGCAUUCUUUUAGUCUAAUGCUGUAGCUUGAAGUCCAGAGGGCAAGCAAUUGGGAAGGAAAGUUAGAGGAGAAGUGGAAAAAGUAAAGACAAGACGGAACUACAAGCUCUCUAGGUCCCACAGGGAUGGAGUGAAACGAGUCCCUGUUCUUGUUGCCUCUGCCCUUGGUGGGUGUCUGCCUUUGAUCAUAGGGUCAAAUACACACCUGGCUCGAGAGUCAGAGAAGCUGAAGGAAGAUUCAGGGGAAAGCAGAGCAUUGCUGGCCUGGACACUGCAUCACACCAAGAGAUGAAGCUCCAGAUCAGUGACCAUGUGUACAAGCUACAGAAUGGCUGCUGCUUCACUGUCAAUCCUCAAAUCACCCAUAAGAAUCUCUCUUGUCCACUCUUAUGAGAAAUAGAAAGGAAAGUUGACAGAUUACAAAGCCACCUACAUCUAAUUUAGGAAGAAAUGGUAUGUUGGCAAAAUUUGGCUGUUCAUUCAGGACCAUGGCACGUUUCUACAUUUAAAUCUGAUUUUAUAUAAAGAAAGAGCUAUAAUUUUGUCAAAUGAGCCCUUCACAAUUUCUAUUAGAAUUAUUUUAUAUUUCUUGUUUUUAGAGCAAAUGGAAUCAUUCUUCCCAAUUACUUUUUUAGCUGAUAGGAAAAAAUCUAUUUUAGAUUAUUUAUCUUCUACUUUACCAAAAGCCUAUUAAUUUUAGAACUUUAUAAGGUUGAUUUUCACUAGUUUUCUAACCAUAUAAUUGUAUUAUCUGCACCCAAUAGCAUUUAAUCCUUCUUUCUAACUCUAUUUCCAUUUCAUCUCAUUGUUCUGGAAUUUUUUUCUUUUUCUUUUUUUUUAAAUUUUAUUUAUUUCUUUAUUUGUGGUGACAUUGGUUAACGAAAUCCAAUAAGUUUCAUCUGUAUACUUUAACAGUAAGGCAUAUAUAUAUUUACAUUGUGUGUUCAUGGAAUUUCUGAUUGCUACAAUGUUAACCAAUAGUGAUGAUAAUUGGCAUGCUUUCAGUUUACGAUAUGUAUUUUUAAUCUUGAACAGCUACUUUCAUUUUUGCUUGUCUGUUCAUUUCUAAAAUCAGUAGUAUGUAUGAAAUGUCAUUUGACAUCUACUGACAUGUGUGGUAGAAUACAUUAAUAAAAUUUUCAAAAUUGAACUAUCUGUAUUUUUAGAAUAAAUCCUGCAUUGUCCUGGUGAAAGAUUAAUUUUUAAUGUACUUUUAAAGUGUGUUGCCAAUAACUUAUUGUUUUAAAAAUAUUUCUAAGUGAAAGUGGUUCAAUUCUUUGUCUGGUCUUGCUCGGUUUCAUAGUUAUGUUAAUUUCAUGAAAAUUAAUUUAAUAGCUUUAUUUACAAACUCUAUGGUAGUUUGUGUAGCCUGAGAGAUAUCUAGUCUUUGAAAAUACAAAAGACUUUGCCAGCAAAACUGGUACCAAGCAUUCUUGUGGUAGUUUUUAAAUAUUAACUUUUUACUUGAGAUAAAACAUACAUAUGGUAAAGUGCACCAACCUAAAAUGUAUAGCUCAAUGAAAUUUUAGACAUAUACAGGCACACACACUCAUAUCUUCAUAACCACUACUCAAAUCAAGAUAGAAAUCAUUUCCAACACCCCAGUCAAAAUCCCACAAAACUAAUUACUAUCCUGACUAGAAAAUAAUUUUAUUCCCAUUUUUUUUUUCUCUUGUGAGUAGUUUCAGUGAAUACUUGUCCUUUUUGGCUACUGUAUUAGUUUGCUAAGUCUGCCAUAACAAAAUAGCACAGACUGGGUGGCUUAAGAAAUUUUUUUCUCACUAUUCUGGAAUCUAAGAUCAAGGUAUCAGCAGAUUUGGUUUCUUCUGAGGCUUCUCUCCUUGACUUGCAGAAGGCCACCUUCUUCUGUCUUCACCCGCUCUUUCCUCCAUGGGUGUACAUCCCCUGUGUCUCUGUGUAUUCAAAUUUUCUCCUCUUAAAAGGACACAAAUCAGAUUAGAUUAAUGCCCACCCCAAGGGCCUUAUUUUAACAUAACUGUGUGUGCAAGUUGCCAUAUCUAACACAUGACUGUGGAAGUAGCAGUUCCACGGGGACC
This is a long non-coding RNA of Pteropus alecto (black flying fox), 8751 nucleotides long. RefSeq lists it as uncharacterized. The transcript has 2 exons. The record is from RefSeq and is a predicted model, not a curated record. NCBI's taxonomy places the organism in Eukaryota, Metazoa, Chordata, Mammalia, Chiroptera, Pteropodidae.